UGGGGAAUUUUGGACAAUGGGGGCAACCCUGAUCCAGCAAUGCCGCGUGUGUGAAGAAGGCCUUCGGGUUGUAAAGCACUUUUGUCCGGAAAGAAAUCGCCCUGGCUAAUAUCCGGGGUGGAUGACGGUACUGGAAGAAUAAGCACCGGCUAACUACGUGCCAGCAGCCGCGGUAAUACGUAGGGUGCGAGCGUUAAUCGGAAUUACUGGGCGUAAAGCGUGCGCAGGCGGUUGUGCAAGACAGAUGUGAAAAUCCCCGGGGCUUAAACCUGGGAAAUGGCAUUUGUGACUGCACGGCUAGAGUGUGUCAGAGGGGGGUAGAAUUCCACGUGUAGCAGUGAAAUGCGUAGAUAUGUGGAGGAACACCGAUGGCGAAGGCAGCCCCCUGGGAUAACACUGACGCUCAUGCACGAAAGCGUGGGGAGCAAACAGGAUUAGAUACCCUGGUAGUCCACGCCCUAAACGAUGUCAACUAGUUGUCGGGUCUUAAUUGACUUGGU
RNAcentral lists this ribosomal RNA (500 nucleotides) under uncultured bacterium. Its description in RNAcentral is "partial 16S ribosomal RNA". It matches the Rfam family "Bacterial small subunit ribosomal RNA", at positions 355 to 844 of the family's 1533-position model. The record is from RNAcentral.